UACAACUGCAAGAUGCCUGAGAUCGAC
This 27-nucleotide non-coding RNA is filed under the name Rattus norvegicus (Norway rat). The record is from RNAcentral. Lineage: Eukaryota; Metazoa; Chordata; Mammalia; Rodentia; Muridae.